GGUUCUGUGGCUUAGUUGGUUAAAGCACCGGUCUAGCGAGUACGGGGUCGUGCGUUCGAAUCCCACCAGAACGC
Molecule: non-coding RNA, 74 nt
Organism: Aedes albopictus (Asian tiger mosquito)
Lineage: Eukaryota; Metazoa; Arthropoda; Insecta; Diptera; Culicidae
Source: Rfam